This 2172-nucleotide unclassified non-coding RNA is filed under the name Hevea brasiliensis (rubber tree). Lineage: Eukaryota; Viridiplantae; Streptophyta; Magnoliopsida; Malpighiales; Euphorbiaceae. The record is from RNAcentral.
AUUUAGUGCCCUACCUCCUCCUCCUACAAUCGCAAUCCGCUCCCUUUCGCAUACCUUCAAACCAUUCUAGCCCUAAUUUCUUUUUCUAUCUAUUUAAUUUCUCCAUCUUUCCCCACUGUUUAAUCUGCAAUCUCUUCGUAACCCUUAUUUUUUGCCCUUCUCUUUUCAAACCCUAAUUUUCUUAACCAGUAUCUGAUCUUUUGAAUCUCUCUUGAUUUGUUGGCAAUUCCAUUUAAUCCUAGAUAAUAAAUAUUGUCAGCAAAUUUGUUCAAUUUGGUUCUUAUUUAUUUAUUUAUUAAAUUCCAGAAUCUUAGCCUAGAAUUUUGUUUAUAGCACAAAAUUUUAUUUUGGCCAACGGAUUUAUAAUUUUUCUCUGUGUAUUAACAUCUGCAUCAAUUACGCACCUUUGAUUGGUCUUGGCAUUAGGAAGAAAUGGUUGGGGGAGGCAGGAGAGACGAGGGAUCGCUGGUGAUUAACAACAAUAAUGUGUUUGCGGCCCUUGAAACUCUGAGGAAGAAGAAGAAGUCUGAUAAGGAGAGGGGGACAUCAAAGAGCGCCAAAGGGUCUUCCAAACCUCAGCUACCAAAACAGCAGCACAAAGAACCUGAGCCUGAAGUUUUCUGGGCCCCUGCCCCGCUCAAUGCUAAAUCAUGGGCAGAUGUCGAGGAUGAAGAUGAUGACGAUUACUUUGCUACCACUGCCCCACCUCAGGCCGUUUGGGGUUCCUCAGAGCCACAUCAAAGUGACGAUAAGCCCACCAACAUAGAGGAAAGUGAGAGUGAAGAAGAUAUUUUAGAUGAAGGUGAUGAUGAAGUGGAUGAAGAGCAUGACCAUGAACCAGAGGUUCCAGCGCACUCUGAGCCAGUGGCAAAGAAGCUUCCUGAAGUUUCUGCAGUGCCUAAGGAGACAGAAAGGCAACUUUCAAAGAAGGAAAGGAAGAAAAAGGAACUUGCAGAGCUAGAGGCCCUUCUGGCUGAUUUUGGAGUCUCUCAGAAGGAUAGCAAUGGCCAAGAUCAGUCACGUGGUAUUUUUAUUAAUAUGACAAAAAUUUUUCUGUUUUAUUCAUGGAAUCAUGGUUCAUUAUAGUUUAUUUAUAUAUGGAAAUGUUUAUUGGUGUAGGAUUGUACAAGUCAAAUAUUACUCAUAUGUAAAAGUUCUAAAUUAAUUUGGCAAUUGUUAGUAAACCGUGCAUAUGAGCAACAUUGUACUUGUGCAUGUGGCACAGCACACAAUUAAGUAUAUACAUGUGUGCCCUGACUCCUGGAAUCAGAUUGUUUUAAGCUUUUACUUACUGCAUUUUUCUUAAUAUUUUUUUGGGGGAAUAAAGCUGUGUUGUGUAUGUGUAUAGCUUUCAAAUAGUAGCUGUACUACUGAAUAUUUUCUAAUCGAGGAAUUCUUUUGAAAAUGAAUUGAUAGAUGCUGCACAAGAAGGAAAAGAGCCAGAGCCUAAUGCAGAGGGUGAAAAGAAGGAAAGUGCCCCUGGAGAGUCCAAAAGUGCUAAGAAGAAGAAGAAGAAGGAUAAAUCAAAGGAGGUGAAAGAACCCCAGGAUCAGUCAAACACUUCUGAAGUCGACAAUGGGGCAGAUGAAGCUGCUGGAACUGAACAGUUAGAUGAAGAUUCUUCUGCUGUUGAUGUGAAAGAGCGUCUAAAGAGAAUGGCAUCUGCAAAGAAGAAAAAAUCUAGUAAAGAGAUGGAUAAUGCUGCAAAAGCUGCUGCUCAAGAGGCUGCUGCAAGAAGUGCAAAGCUUGCUGCAGCCAAGAAGAAAGAGAAGAACCAUUACAACCAGCAGCCAGUGCGGUAAAAUGCCCCUUUUUUGUUUCACACGCAUAUGAACAUGUAUUUCUCGCCGUUCAUAUGACAAUGUGAAAUAAAAUAUCUCCCGUCUGUGGUUUCAAAAAAAGAUGACUUUCUAGUGUGUACUGCCAUGGACUAAAAGAAAGUUCCCCUCUCCCUUUUUUGGAUCUUUAUUGUUGCUUGAUUGUCAUGGAAAACAUAGUUUUAGCAGUUUUGUUAAUCCAAACUUCUUCUUUGGACAAUGAUUGGACUUGAAUUUUGUGUAUCGUAGUCCUUUCAACAAAAUAUUUAGCGCCGUCGAUGGUUGAACAUUAUAUUAAGGUUUUGCAUGUCAUUUGAAAUUUUCAAUGAACAGGACUAUAGGAGCUAUGCAACCA